This is a long non-coding RNA of Tigriopus californicus, 1305 nucleotides long. RefSeq lists it as uncharacterized. The transcript is spliced from 3 exons. The record is from RefSeq and is a predicted model, not a curated record. NCBI's taxonomy places the organism in Eukaryota, Metazoa, Arthropoda, Copepoda, Harpacticoida, Harpacticidae.
AGGCCUUGGCCAAGGUGGCAUGUAGGAAGGUAGGCAUGCAGGCAGGCUGAUGAGGAUGUUGUUGCCUCGUUCUCCUGCUCCGCCCCUUCUGCUCAUACGUGUAAGACAAUGAGCAAAGGAUCACGAUGAACGUAUCUGCUAACCUUGAUGCCUCGUUCUGAGGUUCUUCAAACCCACCCGAGGUCAUAGAUAACAAAUCAGUCCAUCUGAGAUCAAUUUGGGAGACGAAAUGAGCCUCAACCUCGAGGGUCAUUGAGGUCACCUGAGUUCGAAACUUGCCCUGAAAGCCAAGAAGAAGAAAAAAAGAAUCCCGCCUAUGAAUGCCCAUAACAAUUUCUUUUCUUUUGGGGAUGGGACAAGGAGUGUCAGAUUGAAGUCUGGCUUGAUCCAUGAGGGGAUUUGUCUUGGAAAGUAAAUGGAUGAAUCGCUUUUGGAUGAGAGGGCGAUUUUCUCGAUCGAGGCGGGCGGCGGCAUUUUGAGAAAUGUUCCGAGGCAUGAAAUUGACGGCUCAUUGACUUGACACAACAGACACGCCCAAAUCUCGGGACCUGAGAUGGAGCCGCAACAUCAAAGGGACACAUUUUCCGACCCGAGUUCGUCCAGAAACAUCGAUCAGACAAGUUAUUUGAUGUUAAAUAUCGUAUUCACAUCACAUCAACGGUUUGCCUGAUUUCUUUCGACACUUUUUUGUUGUUUUACCCGUACUUUUCACUUACGUUUUUCACUUAAAGCUCAACAACUAUAAAGGAUUUGUCGAUGACAAAUCUAGACAGCUGUUGUAUAAUUCUGACCAUUCUAAACGUUCACUUUAUUUCGAUCUAUGUGUACAAUAUUAAGCACAUACUUAUGCACUAACCAAUACUCUUUAUACUCACCCAUGGUGAUUUGAGUGGUAUCCACAAUAAACAAUAAACAAUAAAUAUAUUGUACGAAUGGACAUGACCGAGAGUCGCAAUGAAGGUUAUCAUUGUUAUUAUUUUUGAAAACAUGUUUUCUUGUUGCAACUUGUUAUCACAACAUAAGCAAUUCUCGGAAUUCGUUUCAAAUUCACAUUCCAAAAGUGAACAGAUAUGAACCCUUGGGUCAGCUAAGUGGGCCAAUAUUGUGUGAGUGGUAUUGUAGUGCUUCUCUUAAAUUUCAAUUGAUGUGAUCAAUCUCUAAUAAGAGCACAAAAGGUGUCAGGUUCACAUUCAGAAACGCCGCUUCUCUUCUGACCUCCAGGCUCAUGUCGUGUUUGUUCGUGAAGUUUUCACACACAGUAUCAAGAGCUCCAUCCAAUUUGGUUGAUUAAUCAGCCAUCUGUGU